This is a non-coding RNA of Pelobates cultripes (western spadefoot toad), 408 nucleotides long. Lineage: Eukaryota; Metazoa; Chordata; Amphibia; Anura; Pelobatidae. The record is from the annotation of a GenBank genome assembly.
AAACUUUGACUAAAUGCCGCCGUUGUGGCACAGUGAGAGGGCUCGUGACUAGCACUUAUCCCUCUUACCUGUGGGAUGGCGAUAUGUCCUAUUCUUUUAACGUGCUGUGCUCCUAGACAGCCUGCUACUGGCCACUUCCAUGCCAACUAGUUUGUGUGUCUGACGACCUGCUACCUGUACUAUGUAUUCUCUUAUGAGCAUAUCUAGCCUAACAUAGCCAUCACCAACGAUAAUCUAUUAAGGUCUCAUAGCUCGUUCACUACAUGUCUUGGUACGCUUAUUACUUAUUACAAUUUACUGAAGUCUCAUAAUUUGAUAACCUCAUGUUCCAGCAUAUUAUUACUCGCUACGGUUGUCAUAUAGCUUGUUAAUCUCACAUCAUAUAUAUAAAACUGUGCUGUCUAAUCU